GACGAACGCUGGCGGCGUGCUUAACACAUGCAAGUCGAACGGUAAGGCCCUUCGGGGUACACGAGUGGCGAACGGGUGAGUAACACGUGGGUGAUCUGCCCUGCACUUCGGGAUAAGCCUGGGAAACUGGGUCUAAUACCGGAUAGGACUCCGGACUGCAUGGUCUGGGGUGGAAAGCUUUUGCGGUGUGGGAUGGGCCCGCGGCCUAUCCGCUUGGGGGUGGGGUGAUGGCCUACCAAGGCGACGACGGGUAGCCGGCCUGAGAGGGUGACCGGCCACACUGGGACUGAGAUACGGCCCAGACUCCUACGGGAGGCAGCAGUGGGGAAUAUUGCACAAUGGGCGCAAGCCUGAUGCAGCGACGCCGCGUGAGGGAUGAAGGCCUUCGGGUUGUAAACCUCUUUCAGCAUCGACGAAGCGAAAGUGACGGUAGGUGCAGAAGAAGGACCGGCCAACUACGUGCCAGCCGCCGCGGUAA
RNAcentral lists this ribosomal RNA (478 nucleotides) under uncultured bacterium. RNAcentral describes it as "partial 16S ribosomal RNA". It matches the Rfam family "Bacterial small subunit ribosomal RNA", at positions 28 to 523 of the family's 1533-position model. The record is from RNAcentral.